GACGAACCGCCCGAACGUUGUUCGGAAUCACUGGGCUUAAAGGGCGCGUAGGCGGUCGAUCACGUCCGGGGUGAAAUCUUUCGGCUUAACCGGAAAAGGGCCUUGGAUACGGAUCGGCUGGAGGGAGGUAGGGGCAGGUGGAACUUCCAGUGGAGCGGUGAAAUGCGUUGAUAUUGGAAGGAACGCCGGUGGCGAAAGCGACCUGCUGGACCUCUUCUGACGCUGAGGCGCGAAAGCCAGGGGAGCGAACGGG
This 253-nucleotide ribosomal RNA is filed under the name uncultured bacterium. RNAcentral describes it as "partial 16S ribosomal RNA". It matches the Rfam family "Bacterial small subunit ribosomal RNA", at positions 524 to 776 of the family's 1533-position model. The record is from RNAcentral.